CCUACGGGAGGCAGCAGUGAGGAAUAUUGGUCAAUGGGCGCGAGUCUGAACCAGCCAAGUAGCGUGAAGGAUGACUGCCCUACGGGUUGUAAACUUCUUUUAUAAAGGAAUAAAGUGCGGCACGUGUGCCUUUUUGUAUGUCCUUUAUCAAUAAGGAUCGGCUAAUUCCGGGCCAGCAGCCGCGGUAAUCCGGAGGGUCCGGGUGUUAUUCGGAUAUAUUGGGUUUAAAGGGGACGUAGUUGGGUUGUGAAGGCUGAUUUGAAAAUUUGCGGCACAAACGUGAAGUUGCGUUUGAUACUGGCAGGCUUGAGUGCAGUUGAGGGAGGCGGAAUUCGUAGUGUAGCGGUGAAAUGCUUAGAUAUUACGAAGAACUCCGAUUGCGAAGGCAGCUUACUAAACUGCAACUGACAUUGAUGCUCGAAAGUGUGGGUAGCAAACAGGAUUAGAUACCCGUGUAGUC
Molecule: ribosomal RNA, 460 nt
Filed under: uncultured bacterium
Lineage: Bacteria
Description: partial 16S ribosomal RNA
Rfam family: Bacterial small subunit ribosomal RNA
Source: RNAcentral